Molecule: long non-coding RNA, 381 nt
Filed under: Panax ginseng (ginseng)
Lineage: Eukaryota; Viridiplantae; Streptophyta; Magnoliopsida; Apiales; Araliaceae
Description: long non-coding RNA (PGIN_LNC009142)
Source: RNAcentral
UAACAUUUUAUUAGCUAUCCUGUUUAAAUUGUAUAUAUCAUUAUAUUUCCUAUCUAGGCGUUGUGCAACAUUCUUUGAAGACAAUAAUCUUCUUCUUCUUCAACCUUUUCCUCGGGUUGAUAAACGCAAUGACGUGAUUCUACUGCUUCUUGUUAAAUGUCUGAACUCAAUGACAUGAUUGCUUCGUUAUUUGCAGGUACAUUUAGUAGGUGCUCGUCUAUACAUUUUUCCUGAUAUUAUCAUGUGAUUAUUUAAACCUCUCUCUAUUUCAGAUUAUACAUUAAGAUAUUUUGAUAAGACUAAAAGAGUUCCAUUAGCUCCUGAGGUAAUAUAUGAUGGUAUCGAUAGCAAUGACUAUUUUUACAGUUUUGUCGGUCCCCA